This 73-nucleotide transfer RNA is filed under the name Micromonospora sp. KC213. Its description in RNAcentral is "tRNA-Arg". It matches the Rfam family "tRNA". Rfam says of the family: Transfer RNA (tRNA) molecules are approximately 80 nucleotides in length. Their secondary structure includes four short double-helical elements and three loops (D, anti-codon, and T loops). Lineage: Bacteria; Bacillati; Actinomycetota; Actinomycetes; Micromonosporales; Micromonosporaceae. The record is from RNAcentral.
GCCCCCGUGGCUCAGUGGAUAGAGCACCAGACUACGGAUCUGGGGGUCGCGCGUUCGAAUCGCGCCGGGGGCA